Molecule: transfer RNA, 82 nt
Filed under: Cavernulicola chilensis
Lineage: Eukaryota; Rhodophyta; Bangiophyceae; Cavernulicolales; Cavernulicolaceae
Description: tRNA-Ser
Rfam family: tRNA
About the family: Transfer RNA (tRNA) molecules are approximately 80 nucleotides in length. Their secondary structure includes four short double-helical elements and three loops (D, anti-codon, and T loops). Further hydrogen bonds mediate the characteristic L-shaped molecular structure. tRNAs have two regions of fundamental functional importance: the anti-codon, which is responsible for specific mRNA codon recognition, and the 3' end, to which the tRNAs corresponding amino acid is attached (by aminoacyl-tRNA synthetases). tRNAs cope with the degeneracy of the genetic code in two manners: having more than one tRNA (with a specific anti-codon) for a particular amino acid; and 'wobble' base-pairing, i.e. permitting non-standard base-pairing at the 3rd anti-codon position.
Source: RNAcentral
GGAUGAAUGGCUGAGUGGUCGAAAGCACCAGUCUUGAAAACUGGCGUGUCUUACUUACACCGUGGGUUCGAAUCCCACUUCA